UUUAUAAUAGUUUAACUAAAAACAUUUCAUUUUCAAUGAAAAAUUAUUUAUCUUAAUUUAUAAA
Molecule: transfer RNA, 64 nt
Filed under: Cheumatopsyche lepida
Lineage: Eukaryota; Metazoa; Arthropoda; Insecta; Trichoptera; Hydropsychidae
Description: tRNA-Glu
Source: RNAcentral